GUCUCUCUUGAGUGGAUCCUGAGUACGACGGAGCACGUGAAAUUCCGUCGGAAUCUGGGAGGACCAUCUCCUAAGGCUAAAUACUCUCUAGUGACCGAUAGUGAACCAGUACCGUGAGGGAAAGGUGAAAAGCACCCCGGAAGGGGAGUGAAAUAGAACCUGAAACCGUGUGCUUACAAGUAGUCAGAGCCCGUUAAUGGGUGAUGGCGUGCCUUUUGUAGAAUGAACCGGCGAGUUACGAUUUGAUGCAAGGUUAAGCAGUAAAUGUGGAGCCGUAGCGAAAGCGAGUCUGAAUAGGGCGUUUAGUAUUUGGUCGUAGACCCGAAACCAGGUGAUCUACCCUUGGUCAGGUUGAAGUUCAGGUAACACUGAAUGGAGGACCGAACCGACUUACGUUGAAAAGUGAGCGGAUGAACUGAGGGUAGCGGAGAAAUUCCAAUCGAACCUGGAGAUAGCUGGUUCUCUCCGAAAUAGCUUUAGGGCUAGCCUCAAGUGAUGAUUAUUGGAGGUAGAGCACUGUUUGGACGAGGGGCCCCUCUCGGGUUACCGAAUUCAGACAAACUCCGAAUGCCAAUUAAUUUAACUUGGGAGUCAGAACAUGGGUGAUAAGGUCCGUGUUCGAAAGGGAAACAGCCCAGACCACCAGCUAAGGUCCCAAAAUAUAUGUUAAGUGGAAAAGGAUGUGGCGUUGCCCAGACAACUAGGAUGUUGGCUUAGAAGCAGCCAUCAUUUAAAGAGUGCGUAAUAGCUCACUAGUCGAGUGACACUGCGCCGAAAAUGUACCGGGGCUAAACAUAUUACCGAAGCUGUGGAUUGUCCUUUGGACAAUGGUAGGAGAGCGUUCUAAGGGCGUUGAAGCAUGAUCGUAAGGACAUGUGGAGCGCUUAGAAGUGAGAAUGCCGGUGUGAGUAGCGAAAGACGGGUGAGAAUCCCGUCCACCGAUUGACUAAGGUUUCCAGAGGAAGGCUCGUCCGCUCUGGGUUAGUCGGGUCCUAAGCUGAGGCCGACAGGCGUAGGCGAUGGAUAACAGGUUGAUAUUCCUGUACCACCUAUAAUCGUUUUAAUCGAUGGGGGGACGCAGUAGGAUAGGCGAAGCGUGCGAUUGGAUUGCACGUCUAAGCAGUAAGGCUGAGUAUUAGGCAAAUCCGGUACUCGUUAAGGCUGAGCAGUG
Molecule: ribosomal RNA, 1171 nt
Filed under: Staphylococcus aureus
Lineage: Bacteria; Bacillati; Bacillota; Bacilli; Caryophanales; Staphylococcaceae
Description: partial 23S ribosomal RNA
Rfam family: Bacterial large subunit ribosomal RNA
Source: RNAcentral